This 229-nucleotide unclassified non-coding RNA is filed under the name Hevea brasiliensis (rubber tree). The record is from RNAcentral. Lineage: Eukaryota; Viridiplantae; Streptophyta; Magnoliopsida; Malpighiales; Euphorbiaceae.
AUUUGGGAGGUUUUGGGAGGGUAGUUUUGGAAGAGAGUGGAUCAACUACAGGAACAGGAAAAUCUAAGGGAGGACCUUUAUACUCAACGGCGAUGGAGUAGUCUAGUUGUUCAUCGUCUGGCAACGGAGCUCCUGCCGGCAACAUUCUCCGCAGAAGAUCUUGCCAGGCGUCGGAAUCGGAGUCAGCGUAUGGCUCAGUCAUUUGGGAAUUUCAGUAGGUAGAAGAAGG